Molecule: ribosomal RNA, 1334 nt
Filed under: uncultured prokaryote
Description: partial 16S ribosomal RNA
Rfam family: Bacterial small subunit ribosomal RNA
Source: RNAcentral
CCUGGCUCAGAACGAACGCUGGCGGCAGGCUUAACACAUGCAAGUCGAACGCCCUCUUCGGAUAGAGUGGCGGACGGGUGAGUAACGCGUGGGAAUAUACCUUAUGGUACGGAACAACAGUUGGAAACGGCUGCUAAUACCGUAUGUGCCCUUCGGGGGAAAGAUUUAUCGCCAUAAGAUUGGCCCGCGUUAGAUUAGCUAGUUGGUGAGGUAAAGGCUCACCAAGGCGACGAUCUAUAGCUGGUUUGAGAGGAUGAUCAGCCACACUGGGACUGAGACACGGCCCAGACUCCUACGGGAGGCAGCAGUGGGGAAUAUUGGACAAUGGGGGCAACCCUGAUCCAGCCAUGCCGCGUGUGUGAAGAAGGCCUUAGGGUUGUAAAACACUUUCAAUCGUGAUGAUAAUGACAGUAGCGAUAGAAGAAGUUCCGGCUAACUCCGUGCCAGCAGCCGCGGUAAUACGGAGGGAACUAGCGUUAAUCGGAAUUACUGGGCGUAAAGCGCACGUAGGCGGCUUUUUAAGCUAGAUGUGAAAGCCCUGGGCUCAACCUGGGAACUGCAUUUAGAACUGGAAGGCUAGAGUAUGGUAGAGGAGUGUGGAAUUUCAGGUGUAGCGGUGAAAUGCGUAGAGAUCUGAAGGAACAUCAGUGGCGAAGGCGACACCCUGGACAAAUACUGACGCUGAGGUGCGAAAGCGUGGGGAGCAAACGGGAUUAGAUACCCCGGUAGUCCACGCCGUAAACGAUGUCUACUAGCCGUUGGGUUCCUUGAGGACUUCGUGGCGCAGCUAACGCAUUAAUUAGACCGCCUGGGGAGUACGGUCGCAAGAUUAAAACUCAAAUGAAUUGACGGGGGCCCGCACAAGCGGUGGAGCAUGUGGUUUAAUUCGACGCAACGCGAAGAACCUUACCUACUCUUGACAUCCAGAGAAUCUUUCAGAGAUGAGAGAGUGCCUUCGGGAAUUCUGAGACAGGUGCUGCAUGGCUGUCGUCAGCUCGUGUCGUGAGAUGUUGGGUUAAGUCCCGUAACGAGCGCAACCCUUAUCCUUAGUUGCCAUCAAUUUAGUUGGGGACUAUAAGGAGACUGCCGGUGACAAACCGGAGGAAGGUGGGGACGACGUCAAGUCAUCAUGGCCCUUACGACCUGGGCUACACACGUGCUACAAUGGCAGGUACAGAGGGAAGCGAACUCGCGAGAGUAAGCGGACCCCAGAAAGCCUGUCGUAGUCCGGAUCGGAGUCUGCAACUCGACUCCGUGAAGUCGGAAUCGCUAGUAAUCGCGGAUCAGAAUGCCGCGGUGAAUACGUUCCCGGGCCUUGUACACACCGCCCGUCA